AUGGGGUGACUGCGUACCUUUUGUAUAAUGGGUCAGCGACUUAUAUUCUGUAGCAAGGUUAACCGUAUAGGGGAGCCGUAGGGAAACCGAGUCUUAACUGGGCGAAUGAGUUGCAGGGUAUAGACCCGAAACCCGGUGAUCUAUCCAUGGGCAGGUUGAAGGUUGGGUAACACUAACUGGAGGACCGAACCGACUAAUGUUGAAAAAUUAGCGGAUGACUUGUGGAUGGGGGUGAAAGGCCAAUCAAACCGGGAGAUAGCUGGUUCUCCCCGAAAGCUAUUUAGGUAGCGCCUCGUGAAUUCAUCUUCGGGGGUAGAGCACUGUUUCGACUAGGGGGUCAUCCCGACUUACCAACUCGAUGCAAACUGCGAAUACCGAAGAAUGUUAUCACGGGAGACACACGGCGGGUGCUAACGUCCGUCGUGAAGAGGGAAACAACCCAGACCGCCAGCUAAGGUCCCAAAGUCAUGGUUAAGUGGGAAACGAAGUGGGAAGGCUCAGACAGCCAGGAUGUUGGCUUAGAAGCAGCCAUCAUUUAAAGAAAGCGUAAUAGCUCACUGGUCGAGUCGGCCCGCGCGGAAGAUGUAACGGGGCUAAACCAUGCACCGAAGCUGCGGCAGCGA
Molecule: ribosomal RNA, 623 nt
Filed under: Proteus mirabilis
Lineage: Bacteria; Pseudomonadati; Pseudomonadota; Gammaproteobacteria; Enterobacterales; Morganellaceae
Description: partial 23S ribosomal RNA
Rfam family: Bacterial large subunit ribosomal RNA
Source: RNAcentral